Molecule: ribosomal RNA, 424 nt
Filed under: Fusobacteriota bacterium
Lineage: Bacteria; Fusobacteriati; Fusobacteriota
Description: Fusobacteria bacterium partial 16S ribosomal RNA
Rfam family: Bacterial small subunit ribosomal RNA
Source: RNAcentral
UGAGGAAUAUUGGUCAAUGGGCGAGAGCCUGAACCAGCCAAGUAGCGUGCAGGAUGACGGCCCUAUGGGUUGUAAACUGCUUUUAUGUGGGGAUAAAGUGCGUGACGUGUCAUGCAUUGCAGGUACCACAUGAAUAAGGACCGGCUAAUUCCGUGCCAGCAGCCGCGGUAAUACGGAAGGUCCGGGCGUUAUCCGGAUUUAUUGGGUUUAAAGGGAGCGUAGGCUGUCUAUUAAGCGUGUUGUGAAAUUUACCGGCUCAACCGGUGGCUUGCAGCGCGAACUGGUUGACUUGAGUAUGCAGGAAGUAGGCGGAAUUCAUGGUGUAGCGGUGAAAUGCUUAGAUAUCAUGACGAACUCCGAUUGCGCAGGCAGCUUACUGUAGCAUAACUGACGCUGAUGCUCGAAAGUGCGGGUAUCAAACAGG